Molecule: ribosomal RNA, 233 nt
Filed under: uncultured bacterium
Lineage: Bacteria
Description: partial 16S ribosomal RNA
Rfam family: Bacterial small subunit ribosomal RNA
Source: RNAcentral
GAUCAUGGCUCAGGAUGAACGCUAGCGACAGGCUUAACACAUGCAAGUCGAGGGGCAGCAUGAUUUGUAGCAAUACAGAUUGAUGGCGACCGGCGCACGGGUGAGUAACGCGUAUGCAACUUACCUAUCAGAGGGGGAUAGCCCGGCGAAAGUCGGAUUAAUACCCCAUAAACAAGGGUCCCGGCCGAUGGGAAGUAUUAGUUUAAGUAAUUACUAUCGCUGAUAGAUAGGCG